This 88-nucleotide transfer RNA is filed under the name Campylobacterota bacterium. RNAcentral's name for it is "Epsilonproteobacteria bacterium (hot springs metagenome) tRNA-Leu". It matches the Rfam family "tRNA". From Rfam's summary of the family: Transfer RNA (tRNA) molecules are approximately 80 nucleotides in length. Their secondary structure includes four short double-helical elements and three loops (D, anti-codon, and T loops). The record is from RNAcentral. Lineage: Bacteria; Pseudomonadati; Campylobacterota.
GCCUUGGUGGUGAAAUAGGUAGACACAGGGGACUUAAAAUCCCCCGGACAUUGCGUCCGUGCCGGUUCAAUUCCGGCCUGAGGCACCA